GAUCGAAGGUCUUUUAAUAUGAAGGUAUAGUGUUAUCUUGUCCUGCUUUUUCUGUAUUAUAUGUUGAUAGCAGAUUAUAGUUACUAAAACACCAUGCACAGUUUCGUGACAAAUACUCCACUACUCCUACCCAAACUUAAAAAUAAUAUCAAAUCAAUAGGUUGACAAAUUGAAAAUUUCAACAUUAAAAUGUAUUUAAACUAAUCCUUCAUCUAUGAAUGAAAUUUUUAAUAAUAGGUAGUUAUUUGAAAGUAAAAUGUAGGUUAUCAAUUGCCUCCAAAAAAAAUGGCAAUGUAACUUCAAUGAUAUAAAUUUCUUAAGUUGUCAAAAAAAAAAAAA
Cinara cedri is the source of this 339-nucleotide non-coding RNA. Lineage: Eukaryota; Metazoa; Arthropoda; Insecta; Hemiptera; Aphididae. The record is from the annotation of a GenBank genome assembly.